GAGUUUGAUCCUGGCUCAGGACGAACGCUGGCGGCGUGCCUAACACAUGCAAGUCGAGCGGAGAAUGCAGGCAAUGUAUUCUUAGCGGCGGACGGGUGAGUAACGCGUGGGUAACCUGCCUUUAACAGGGGGAUAACACAGGGAAACUUGUGCUAAUACGGCAUAACAUCACUAUGUGGCAUCACAUGGUGAUCAAAGGAGCAAUCCGGUUUUAGAUGGACCCGCGUCCGAUUAGCUAGUUGGUGGUGUAACGGACCACCAAGGCGACGAUCGGUAGCCGAACUGAGAGGUUGAUCGGCACAUUGGGACUGAGACACGGCCCAGACUCCUACGGGAGGCAGCAGUGGGGAAUAUUGCGCAAUGGGGGAAACCCUGACGCAGCAACGCCGCGUGAAGGAUGAAGGUUUUCGGAUCGUAAACUUCUUUGAUGAGGGACGAAUAAAUGACGGUACCUCAAAAACAA
This 463-nucleotide ribosomal RNA is filed under the name uncultured low G+C Gram-positive bacterium. Its description in RNAcentral is "bacterial SSU rRNA". It matches the Rfam family "Bacterial small subunit ribosomal RNA", at positions 9 to 489 of the family's 1533-position model. The record is from RNAcentral. Lineage: Bacteria; Bacillati; Bacillota.